UUAGGAAUAUUCGUCAAUGGGGGGAACCCUGAACGAGCAAUGCCGCGUGAGUGAUGAAGGUCUUAUAGAUUGUAAAACUCUGUUGUAAAGGAAGAACGACUAUUAUAGGUAAUGAUAAUAGAGUGACGGUACUUUACCAGAAAGCCCCGGCUAACUACGUGCCAGCAGCCGCGGUAAUACGUAGGGGGCGAGCGUUAUCCGGAUUUAUUGGGCGUAAAGGGUGCGUAGGCGGUUUAUUAAGUUUAAAAUAAAAGCCCGAAGCUUAACUUCGGUUCGUUUUAAAAACUGGUAGACUUGAGUAUAGUAGAGGCAAGUGGAAUUUCUAGUGUAGCGGUUAAAUGCGUAGAUAUUAGAAGGAACACCAGUGGCGAAGGCGACUUGCUGGGCUAUUACUGACGCUGAGGCACGAAAGCGUGGGGAGCAAAUAGG
RNAcentral lists this ribosomal RNA (429 nucleotides) under uncultured bacterium. RNAcentral describes it as "bacterial SSU rRNA". It matches the Rfam family "Bacterial small subunit ribosomal RNA", at positions 355 to 776 of the family's 1533-position model. RNAcentral also lists the same sequence under 1 other name. The record is from RNAcentral.